This 468-nucleotide ribosomal RNA is filed under the name uncultured bacterium. Its description in RNAcentral is "partial 16S ribosomal RNA". It matches the Rfam family "Bacterial small subunit ribosomal RNA", at positions 28 to 507 of the family's 1533-position model. The record is from RNAcentral.
GAUGAACGCUGGCGGCGUGCUUAACACAUGCAAGUCGAACGGAAAGGCCGAAGCUUGCUUCGGUACUCGAGUGGCGAACGGGUGAGUAACACGUGGGUGAUCUGCCCUGUACUUCGGGAUAAGCUUGGGAAACUGGGUCUAAUACCGGAUAUGACGAUCUCUUGGAUGGGGUUGUGGAAAGCUUUUGCGGUAUGGGAUGAGCUCGCGGCCUAUCAGCUUGUUGGUGGGGUAAUGGCCUACCAAGGCGUCGACGGGUAGCCGGCCUGAGAGGGUGUACGGCCACAUUGGGACUAAGAUACGGCCCAGACUCCUACGGGAGGCAGCAGUGGGGAAUAUUGCACAAUGGGCGCAAGCCUGAUGCAGCGACGCCGCGUGGGGGAUGACGGCCUUCGGGUUGUAAACUCCUUUCGCAAUCGACGAAGCCUUUUGGUGACGGUAGGUUGAGAAGAAGCACCGGCUAACUACGUG